CUCAGGAUGAACGCUAGCGGCAGGCUUAACACAUGCAAGUCGAGGGGCAUCGGGAGUAGCAAUACUUGCCGGCGACCGGCGCAAGGGUGCGUAACGCGUGAGCAACAUGCCCGUAUCAGGGGGAUAAUCCAUGGAAACGUGGUCUAAUACCCCAUAGUAAUUAUGUAAGGCAUCUUAUAUAAUUUAAAGCUUUGGUGGAUACGGAUUGGCUCGCGUGACAUUAGCUGGAUGGUAAGGUAACGGCUUACCAUGGCUACGAUGUCUAGGGGUUCUGAGAGGAAGGUCCCCCACACUGGAACUGAGACACGGUCCAGACUCCUACGGGAGGCAGCAGUGAGGAAUAUUGGACAAUGGAUGGAAAUCUGAUCCAGCCAUGCCGCGUGCAAGGAAGACGGCCCUAUGGGUUGUAAACUGCUUUUGUAUGGGAGCAAUAAGGGCUACGUGUAGUCCGAUGAGAGUACCAUACGAAUAAGCACCGGCUAACUCCGUGCCAGCCGCCGC
RNAcentral lists this ribosomal RNA (501 nucleotides) under uncultured bacterium. RNAcentral describes it as "bacterial SSU rRNA". It matches the Rfam family "Bacterial small subunit ribosomal RNA", at positions 23 to 518 of the family's 1533-position model. The record is from RNAcentral.